UCACAUUAUAAUACGAAAUAACUUUUAUAUACACUGGGAAACCAAAAAAUUCGUGGUCUGGAACCGAACCCGCAAUAUCUCCGAGGUAUGUCUGUAUCGGGUCCUUCAAUUUAACUCGACUACGUGUGUCCUCCAGCGAGACUGUGAUCUCUUUGGGUAUACUGUUAUUAGUUGCAUGCUUCAUAAAUGUAUUCGGCUGCUUGAGUUAAUAAACUGUGAUCCAGGCUGUAAGACAUUGAACUAUCCACAUGAUAAGGGGUCAGAGAACACAAACAAUUACUCAGCACAUACCAACAUUCAAAGAACAUCUCUGCACGCGUCCCUAAUAAGCGCCCAGCCCAGAGGCGAUUUUGGGAUACGUGUUCGAAACUAUUUGCUCUCGGCACUUCGGUAGCACACGACAAGCUUUUAAGCCCUUUAAACCCUCGCUUCUGAGGGCAUAAGUUGACGCCACACUCAAUUCAUCAACUGUGCUACUACGCGCUUGUGUUCUUGAAGUCCAGUGUCUUCAAUAACGAAGUAAUCUCAUAAUAUUGCUACCUAACUCUACCGAGUUUUUGCUACAAUCUGUGAAGUGUGUACUGACUACAAUUCUCCACGUCUGUGUUGUGUUGGCUACAAGAGGACUUCAGUUUUAAUUCGUUUCUUUACGUCUACCCUAAACGAAGAACACGCCCCUCAGCCGAGAACGUGCUGCCAUCUAUCGGUAGUCCUAGCAACAUGUCUGCGAUAUGAAUCGAUAAAGGCUGAUCGAUCUUCAUGAAAUCUGGUGCAAGAGAGAAAACGGUUUUGACAUGAUAUCAGAAAUUAACCAGAAUCAUAUCCUUGCUUCCUUCCACGAUUUAUCAUCCAUCGAUGAGAAAAAUAUACUCAUUUGGUCUUUUAAUGACGU
Zootermopsis nevadensis is the source of this 892-nucleotide long non-coding RNA. RefSeq lists it as uncharacterized. The record is from RefSeq and is a predicted model, not a curated record. Lineage: Eukaryota; Metazoa; Arthropoda; Insecta; Blattodea; Termopsidae.